RNAcentral lists this unclassified non-coding RNA (4198 nucleotides) under Hevea brasiliensis (rubber tree). Lineage: Eukaryota; Viridiplantae; Streptophyta; Magnoliopsida; Malpighiales; Euphorbiaceae. The record is from RNAcentral.
GUUAUUACAAUCCAGUGAGACAACGUGUUAAAGGCGUACAAAAAUUUCCCACAAACUGAGGGGUGCUCUCUCUCAGUUUUCGCUCCCUGCUUCUCUGUGUCUUCCAAAAAUUUUCACUUUCUCUUCCCCCCGCUCUUUCCCCCCCUUCUCUUUCCCUCCAUGUGACUAUCCUCUUUCUAAAACUGAUAAAUAAUCACAUCCUAUUAUCCCAAGUAAGUGAACCCUUUCCUUUUUCUCUUCCAUGCCUUCCAUGUCUAUUUUCUAGGGUUUUUGGUUUCUCAUUUUUUUGUUCUGUUUAAUCAAUUGGACUUAUUUUGAGAAGCUUUUACCUGCAUGCCAUGCCUGGCCAUUCCAUUUUGAGUUUCAAUGUUUCAGGUAUCACACAUUAUUGUUCUGGAUUAGUGAGAUUGUUGCUUGCAGUUGUGGGAUGAGGUGAAGGGCCAGCAUUUUGUGUCACGUAGGUUCCCAUUUUGAAGACUUUUCAAUUGUUGUUAUUUGAAUGUGUGAAGAUAUUGGAUGAGAGUUGGACUCUGGUGAGACAAGGGAAGAAAAGUUGCCAUCUCAUUGGGUAUUAUUGGGUUUCAACUGUCAAUGGAAUGCAAUAAAGAGGAGGCCAUUAGAGCAAAAGAAAUUGCGGAAAAGAAAAUGCAAAAUGGGGAUUUUGUUGGGGCACGCCGGAUUGCACAGAAGGCACGGCAACUCUAUCCUGACCUUGAUAAUAUUUCUCAAUUAUUAAUGGUUUGUGAGGUUCAUUGUUCUGCACAAAACAAACUAAAUGGAUCAGAAAUGGAUUGGUAUGGAGUUCUCCAGAUUGAGCAGUUUUCAGAUGAGUCUGUUGUCAGGAAGCAAUUCAGAAAGCUUGCUCUCUCUCUUCAUCCAGACAAGAAUAAGUUUGCAGGUGCAGAGGCUGCUUUCAAGCUGAUUGGUGAAGCAAAUAGGGUGCUUACAGACCCAACCAAACGUUCGUUGUAUGACAUGAAGUGCAGAGGUUCACUGAGAUCUGUUGCACCAAAGUCAGCAACUGAUCAGUCAAAUAAAAACUCUUAUGCCAAGAAGCAGCAUGGUGCUGCAAACAAGUUCGCUAAUACGCCUCAUUCGCAGUACAUGAGUUCACAUACUUAUCAGCAGCCACAACAGACAACAUUCUGGACACACUGUCCCUCUUGCACCGUGAAGUACCAAUACUACAGAGAAUUUCUAAAUAAAAUGUUACGUUGUCAAAAUUGUCAGCAGCCUUUUAUUGCUAAUGAUUUGGGUACAUCACCUGGAUCUUCCUGGAGUCAGUUCCUCGAUGAGAAAAGAGUUCCAAGGCAAGGUCCUUCUAAAGUUGCACCAGGAAAUAAUGCAGGGAAGCCAUCUGGUAUGAGCUUUCCGCAUGCGUUUUCAGGGUCAGACCUGAUGCCUAAGGUAGGAAGAGCUGCAGAUGUUUGUGGGAGUUCUAAACCCAAAGAGGCAAAGGCAGGAAAUGCUUCUGGAAUUGGUGGGGGUUCUAAACCACAGGAGAAAGUGAAUGGGCAUGUGGAAGUUGGGAAAGGAGGUGCUCCAGUGUCAAUGUCAAAUGCAAAGAAAUUCAAGGGAUCACUAACUUCAGAUAGUGCAAGUAGUAAGAAACGGAGGAAGUCAAUGGAGGAAUCCAGUGAGAAUUUUGACAAAGGCAGCAGUGCUGGCAUUGAAGAAAACAUCGUUGUUGAGGAGAAUGGUGGUGACCUUUCUGCCCAGAAUUCUAGACCCAGUGAUGGCUAUCAACCUAGGAGAUCUUCAAGGCAAAAGCAGCACAUUUCUUACGAGGAAAAUUUAAGCAAUGAUGACUUUGUUGACCCUCCUCCAAAAAGAUCUAGGGGUAGCAGGUCAUCUGGUGUGGCUGAUGGUGAGAUAAAAGAAGCAAGUGCAGGUAGUGGAAUGCCAAGAGGAGAUAUUUCAGCUGGUUUUGCUACUUAUGCAUUGAAUAGAAACAAUAAAGAGGUUAACCAAAAAGCAACUUCCAGUCUUGAAGAAAGAUCAUCAAACAAGAAAAGGAAAACGGGAGAUUUUGAGGCUAAAGGAGAUGAAGCAUCCAUGUCAGAGAAGGCUGGUACAAAGUUGGAGAUCAAUGAUGAAAAUUCCAAAAUUGGCACAUCUAAGUUAAAUUCAAAUGAAACACUAAAAUCAGAGAUCUUUGUAUGUCCUGAUCCAAAUUUCAGUAAUUUUGAGAAAGAUAGGGCAGAAGGCUCUUUUGCUGUUAAUCAAAUAUGGGCUAUUUAUGAUUCAAUAGAUGGCAUGCCCAGAUUUUAUGCACGGGUCAAGAAAGUGCUUACUCCUGGGUUCAAGCUGCAGAUAACUUGGCUAGAGGCAAGCCCGGAUAACGAUGCUGAGCAACUUUGGUGUGAGGAGGGUUUGCCUUCUGCUUGUGGUAUGUAUGAAAAUGGGGAUACUGUAGAAACUGUAGACCAUCCUAUGUUCUCUCAUCAAAUGUAUUGUAAGAAUGCUGGACGCAAAGGCACUUACUUGAUAUAUCCCAAGAAGGGAGAAACAUGGGCUCUCUUUAAGGAUUGGGACAUUAAAUGGAGUUCUGAACCAGAUAAGCAUAGGCCUCCUUACCAAUUUGAAUUUGUGGAAAUUCUGACAAAUUUUACCGAGGAUCUUGGCAUUGGGGUUUCUUAUUUGGAUAAAGUGAAGGGAUUUGUUAGUAUUUAUCAGCAAGUUGACUGUAAUGGUGUUCUAUCAUUUUGCAUACGACCAAGUGAACGGUAUAGAUUUUCCCACCGAAUUCCUUCAUUCAGAAUGACUGGUCAGGAAGGAGAAGGUGUCCCUGCAGGGUCUUUUGAACUUGAUACUGCUGCACUGCCUGGUAAUCUUUACAACCUCGUUGAACUUGGUGAUGUGAAGGUUGGAAAGGAGAAGCUAGAUGCUGAAGCAAUUGGUUCAUAUUCAAAGUCUCCUGAAUAUAAAGUGGAACCUAUAAAGCGCUCUGAGAAGGUUUGCACUCCUAAGAAUCUCAAGAGUGGUCCUGAAAAAGGAACUUCAAGACAUGCAAGAUCUCCAGGAGAAUCAACUGGGACAUGUAGGGAUGACAGUCAUAUUGAUGGAGGUCAACGGGCAAAAGAUAAGGAUGGUAACAAAGUUGCUAGUCAUGGCAAGCUAACUCAACCUGAAGGAAUCCGUACUUCUUUUCAGGAUACUGAGAGGAGCACAACCCAUAAGAAAUUGGAGAAGGUAAAAUUUACAGCAGAUGCCUGGACACCUAGAAGAUCUCCUAGAGACUUGAGCAAUAGAGUAGAUGCAAGUCAGUCUACAACAGAAGUUGCUGGCAAGCAUACUGCAACAAACAAAGAUGAAAGACAAGGGCAACCAGGUGCUUCCUCACGUCAUCCUGAUAAUAAAAUGCAUUUACAUGUGAAGGAUGGAAGUUCGGUCAGUCCCGCAAAAAGCCAAAAGUCCUCUGGUUGUAGAGUUAUAGAAGUAGAGCACUAUGAUUUCAAGAGCAAAAAGUCCAAGGAUAAAUUUCAACUGGACCAGGUAUGGGCACUGCACAGUGAUAAGGAUGGUUUACCCAGGGAUUAUGCUCAGGUUAAGAAGAUUGAAUCCACUAAUGGGUUCAAAUUGCAUGUGGCAAUGCUUGAAGCCUGCCCACUCCAAAAAGACAUGCAGACUGUUUGCGGGACAUUUAAAGUUAAAAAUAAAUGCAUGGUGCUUCCUGUCACUGCAUUUUCUCAUCAGGUGAAAGCGAAGGCAAUUGGGAAGAGCAAAUACGAAAUUUACCCUAGACAAGGGGAGAUUUGGGCAAUAUAUAGGAUCUGGAAUGCUGAAUUAACGUUUUCAGACCAGGAUGCAAGGGAAUGCGACUUUGUUGAAGUGGUAGAAGAAAAUGACGGGGGUGUGAAAGCUGUAGUUUUGAUACCCGUUAAUGGAUCUGCAUCAUUUUACACGGCACCAAGAAGAUCAAAACGCAGUAUAAUUGACAUGCCACGGGCUGAGUUUGGUAGAUUUUCUCAUCAGUGUUUAGCUUCCCAGGUUGUGGGAAAGAACAAUAGUUUCCUGAAAGGCUAUUGGGAGCUUGCUCCUUCAUCAAUUCCUGGUUCUGUAAUUUUGGUAGAUUAAACGGUCGUAUUGUAGGUAGGUUGCGUACUGAUCUUUGUGGAAUGCUAUGAAAUUGUUCCCUGUUGUAAGCGGAAUGAAGUUUGUAGAAACUUUGGCAAUAUGGGUUUUUCUUCUCAACCAA